UACAUUAUUCAUUUUAUCCCUUUUUUUUUUCUAAAAUUAGAGCUCUUAAUUUUCUGUACUUGAUUCUGCAAAGAAGAUUUCGAUGUUUCGCAUAUCACGUGCUGAUCUUCCUCUGCAAAACUGGAUUUGGAUUAAUGGCGGCGUAACAUUCGAAUAACUAUAAGCGAUAAGCUUUAGUUAUGCAAACGGCGUAUUUUCUUCGCGGUUCUUUCUUAAACGAGUGUCGGUUGCCUAUCAAUCAGGCUUCCAACUAUGGCGACUCUCUCCCUCUGUGAUUAAUGGGCUCUUCAGGUUCUUGAUUACUCAUCAUCAAUAUUGUCGUUAGGUUCUUUCUUUGAUUACUCAUCAUCAAUACUGUUUCAACAUUGAUUACCUCGGUGGUUUAUCAUCUGGGUUUCGUGUAAUAAUUGUUUUUAAGUUAGAAACUGAAGAUUAAAUUGAUUGAUUGGUUGAUUGGUUGAAUGAGUUGAUUCCGCUUGUUCUUGAGACGUCCUGAAAAUUUGUGAUCUGGGUUACUUGUGUGUGUAGUUUUCUCUUUAGUUUUAAGAGUUCUGGAGAUUUAUGAUUGGAGAUCAUUGAGCUAAAACACUGGAUGCACGAUUUUAUUGGGGAACUCUUACAGGUUCUUAUAUUUUGGCCAAAAUUAGAGAUUAUUGAUCUGGGUGAUCGGAGAAAUCACAAUAUUGGACGAUGAACGCUGUAGGGAUACUAGGUAGUUACAUUUCAAAGGGUGUUUAUACCGUUUCUGGGCCAUUUCAUCCGUUUGGUGGAGCUGUGGACAUUGUUGUAGUCGAACAGCAGGACGGUAGUUUUAAAUCAUCGCCUUGGUAUGUACGGUUUGGGAAAUUUCAAGGAGUUUUGAAGACAAAGGAGAAGGUGAUCAACAUAGCUGUAAAUGGGGUUGAAGCUAAUUUCCAGAUGUAUAUGGAUCAUAAAGGAGAAGCUUAUUUUUUGAUGGAAGUUGAUGCUGAAGGAGAAUCUGGAUUGUAUUCUUCAUCUUCAGGCGAUGAGGCCGAGGGGAAAUUGCUGCAGGAACUCGAUGGUAGGAUCCUUGGUUCAAAAAGUUACAACUAUGAUGCUAGAAGUUCAAUAGAUAGGAUUGAAAAGAGUAAAGAUAAAGGGAAGAUAGUGACAAAGACUACCUCCCAACGACGGACACUUGGAUGGGGUCGUAAUUCAAUUAAAGAAGAUCAUCAUGAGGAUGCAUCUCUUGCGAGAAUAGACUCGCUGAAGCGUGCUGAGAUUGUAGCUGAUCUUUUAGAGGUUAGGUGGUCUACCAAUCUUCGCACACAAAAGCUUGAGAAAUCAGAUUGUUCCAAGUUUUCUUCCAUUAACACUUCAGAUGACAAGGAUGAGGAAAAGUUGAGGAGAGAUGAUGAGACAAGCCACGUGACAUCAACUGAUGAAGGUAACAUGGGGAAUAGUCUUGAUAAAGAUUGUGAUAACUCCGGCAGCGAGCACAUAACCAAUGGCUCUCAAUUGGAAUCGGAAGACGUAGAGCUGUUGACUGAGGUAACUAGAGAAUUGUCAAGUUUAAACACCGAGGAUAGAGUGAUUGAAAUUUGCACUAUAGAGGGAAAGGAUUUUGACGGGACAUAUGAAAUGAAAUCUGCACCAAGGGAUAUCGAACAGACUGCCAAAGAUACUGUGAAUGUGACAGGAACCAUCUCCGAAAAUGCAGAUUCCGAGUCCCAGCUUUUAUUGUUGAAGAACAGUGAUUCAUAUUAUGGAGAGAACUUUAUUGGACGCCACUUAUCUGAUGAAAUAAAUAUCGUUUCUCAAGUAUUCAACAUUUCUGAAGACAAGAGUGAAUCCGAUGCAGUCCAAUCCUUAAUGUUUUAUGAAACUUCCAAGAGCUCAAGGUUGACAAUGGAUGACUCAAGCGUACUGACUCCUAAAGCCUCCCACCCGGCCAAUGGAGGAUCUGGGAUCAUUGAUGUGCAUUCAAAGGGAUUGCACCUGGCAACUGAAGUUCAUCCUGAGUACACAGAUUCUAGUGUCGUAGCUGGAGAUUUUGAAAUAGAGACUGAAAAAUUUGAAGCCCUCGUGAACUAUUCUCAACAAGUGGAUCAUUGUAAUAGUUCUGUCUAUGAAGGCAACACAAUGGACCAAGAAAAGCUACCGACACUUGAAGCUUCAUAUACUCAAAUAGUCUCCACAGAAGAAAUGCAUGGUUCAGUUAAAGAAUUUAAGUCCGAUAGCAUAGGUUCAAGUUUCGGCUCGGAUUUUCAAGAUGACAAAAGUGUAGAUGGAAGUGUCAAAAGCAAGUUCCAAAUUUCUUCGAAUUCUAUCGGUAAUAGAGUCGUACCAAAAGAAAGUAACAUAAUACCAUCAACAAAUUCAGACGAUGAACAAUUCCUUUUCAGUGAUAUUGAUGUUUCAAAAGCUGAGCUAAAUGGUAAUAUAGAGUUAGACAGCCAACGUUACAAUGAUAAGGAAGAAUAUCCAUUAGCAUAUCCAAGUAGCAUUGAUGGAGAAGAUAGAUUUGUAAAUAGGAGUUGUGUAACAUCCAGUUCGCCAGAUAGUCGUGAGUUCUUCAAUCAGGGGAUUGCAAGUUCCAUCACAAUUCCUUCAAGUCAACCAAUCUCGAAUAAAGAAGUUGACCGUAUGGCAGCAUCACUACCUAAUAUGCAGGAUCGUAUUGAAAAUUUAAUUGCUGGUGAGAUCAGCCAUCCUCUAAGCCAUUCUGUGGACUCAAAUUCCAGAUCAUUGAAGUGGAUGGAAUCCUGUAAAGAUAAUGCAAGCUCCAAAUCUGGUAGAGAUGAAGAAGAUAAAGUGGCAGAGGAACGGUCAAGAUCUGAAGAAUCCUUGGUUUCAGAAGAACUCAAAAGUAUUAUUCCUAACUCUAGAGCGGGUAGUCCAGCAGAAGCAACUGUUGACCCAGUUGGAAAUUGGAAACUUUGGCCUUUCUCUUUUAAAAGAUCUAGUUCUAGGAAAGGAACUCAAUCAGCUGUUGAUGAUUACGUAGAUUUUGAUAUUAAGAAGACUUCAGAUAGGAACAAUGGAAUGGAUGGAGAAGCAAGAAUCUUUAAGCACAAGGCAGAAAAAAAGAUGGUUAAGUCCCUCUUGCCGACAUCUGAGCAGCUGGCAUCCUUAAAUCUCAAGGAAGGGGGGAACACAAUACUUUUCACAUUCUACACUGCAGUGCUGGGGAAACAGCAGGUUGAUGCCAAGAUUUAUUUGUGGAAAUGGAAUACUCGCGUAGUGAUAUCAGAUGUAGAUGGGACAAUAACAAAAUCGGAUGUUCUGGGUCAAUUCAUGCCCUUUGUUGGAAGGGAUUGGUCACAAACAGGCGUCACAAAUUUAUUUUCUGCUAUUAAGGAAAAUGGGUACCAAUUGCUUUUUCUUAGUGCACGAUCAAUUUCUCAGGCCUAUCAAACCCGCCAAUUUCUUUUCAACCUUAAGCAGGGUGGGAAGGCUCUGCCGGAGGGACCUGUUGUUAUCUCCCCAGAUGGGCUUUUCCCUUCACUAUAUCGUGAAGUUAUUCGGCGGGCUCCUCAUGAGUUCAAGAUUGAAUGCUUGGAGAGAAUUCGAGAACUAUUUCCUCCAGAUUGCAAUCCAUUUUAUGCUGGGUUUGGAAACAGGGACACGGAUGAAUUUAGCUACCUUAAAGUUGGAAUUCCAAUUGGAAAAAUCUUCAUUAUUAAUCCCAAGGGGGAGAUUGUCGUAAACCGUCGCUUUGACACAAAAUCGUAUACGUCACUUCAUACUCUUGUCAAUGACAUGUUUCCUCCCAUUACCUCGUCUGAGCAGGAGGACUUCAAUUCAUGGAAUUACUGGAAACUAUCACCUCCCUUGGUAGAUUCAUAAAGCUUUUUUUGCCUGAAAUAUGAGAUCCUUGAAUCUGUGCAUUACUGUGGUGGGUGGGUUUCUUUGCUAAACUCAUUGGUAGAGAUUAUUAAGCUUCUGGAUCCAUUGCUGAUUGCGCCCACCUAAUACAUCUUCUGCAGAAUCAGUUCAUAUUUCAUCCUGAUCUCUGCUGAGUUGAAACUUUUGUGUUGCAUACUGGAUAUAGGAUUAUUAUUGUACAGUGGUAAGCUCAUUGUAAGUAUGUAGUUUAAAUUCAUAGGUAAAAUAAUAAAUCUCCAUCAGUUUAUGUGUUUAUUUCCCUUUAGGAAGAAAGUGAGGAAAAGUAAAUAGAAUGGCUGUACAUUUCCAUGUACCUUUAGAAUUGCAAAGGAAUUUGCUUGCACCAUGGUGGCAAAAUUCAUCAUUAGUAGCAUUUGUUAUUAUUUUAUUCUAAUAAAGAAACAAAUAUGUGAACGUGAUUUUCUUUU
This is an RNA transcript of Cucurbita maxima (winter squash), 4277 nucleotides long. It is a transcript of the gene named phosphatidate phosphatase PAH1-like, with no coding region annotated. The transcript has 12 exons. The record is from RefSeq and is a predicted model, not a curated record. Lineage: Eukaryota; Viridiplantae; Streptophyta; Magnoliopsida; Cucurbitales; Cucurbitaceae.